CCUACGGGUGUCAGCAGUGAGGAAUAUUGCACAAUGGGGGGAACCCUGAUGCAGCGACGCCGCGUGGGUGAAGGAGUAUUUCGGUAUGUUAAGCCCUAUCAGCAGUGAAGAACAAUGACGGUACCUGACUAAGACGCACCGGCUAAAUACGUGCCAGCCGCCGCGGUAAUACGUAUGGUGCCAGCGUUAUCCGGAUUUACUUGGUUUAAAGGGAGCGCUUGCGGCGCUUUAAGCCUGGUGUGAAAGCCCGCGGCCCAACCGCGGGACUGCAGUUGAAACUGGCGCGCUGGAGUGCCGGAGAGGUAGGCGGAAUGCCUAGUGUAGCGGUGAAAUGCGUAGAUAUUAGGAGGAACACCAGUGGCGAAGGCGGCCUACUGGACGGUGACUGACGCUGAGGCUCGAAAGCGUGGGGAGCAAACAGGAGUAGAUACCCGAGUAGUC
This 441-nucleotide ribosomal RNA is filed under the name uncultured bacterium. RNAcentral describes it as "partial 16S ribosomal RNA". It matches the Rfam family "Bacterial small subunit ribosomal RNA", at positions 338 to 795 of the family's 1533-position model. The record is from RNAcentral.